GGGCACGUAGCUCAGCUAGGACAGAGCGUCGGACUUCUAACCGCGCCGGUGUUCCGGUGUGGGGAGAGAUCCGAUGGCCGUGGGUUCGAAUCCCACCGUGCUCG
RNAcentral lists this transfer RNA (104 nucleotides) under Natronomonas moolapensis 8.8.11. It matches the Rfam family "tRNA". From Rfam's summary of the family: Transfer RNA (tRNA) molecules are approximately 80 nucleotides in length. Their secondary structure includes four short double-helical elements and three loops (D, anti-codon, and T loops). The record is from Rfam by way of RNAcentral. Lineage: Archaea; Methanobacteriati; Methanobacteriota; Halobacteria; Halobacteriales; Natronomonadaceae.